This is a long non-coding RNA of Apus apus (common swift), 472 nucleotides long. RefSeq lists it as uncharacterized. Lineage: Eukaryota; Metazoa; Chordata; Aves; Apodiformes; Apodidae. The record is from RefSeq and is a predicted model, not a curated record. The transcript has 3 exons.
GUCUGUCCCUCCUUUGUUCCAGACUCAGGAAAAGCAUGUCUGCUUGAAAAGCAGCUUGCCUCAAGCUGAAUUCAUUGUUACUUCACUUAUCUUCAAGUCAGUAAGAGACAGUUUUACAAAUCUCUAACAUAAGGCAUGAAAUGGAAUUCAACAACAACAUGGAUUUUCUAGUUUUUAUUUGGCUCUGGCCAAAUGAAUGGAAGCUGGCUCAAGACAGGGUACAGCUACUCCAGUAAUGAAGAAAGAAGGAUGUGUAGUAGCACGUCUUCCUCACUCCAGGUAUGGAACAGCUCUUAAUACAUGCAGUGCUAAUGAGAGGCACUACAGUCCCAUUACUGCUUUCCAGGAAGUCUCCAUACUUCUGCGAAGGACAUAAAGCCACCAGGACUGAAUCGACAUGAACAAGUAAUAAAAUCCUCUGGGGGGAAAGAAAAAAUAAAUAUAUUUCAGCUUAAAUUUACCUCUGGAAUUA